Pelobates cultripes (western spadefoot toad) is the source of this 481-nucleotide non-coding RNA. Lineage: Eukaryota; Metazoa; Chordata; Amphibia; Anura; Pelobatidae. The record is from the annotation of a GenBank genome assembly.
AAGUGGCUACUUAAACAUUCUGAACAUACACCAUUUGCAAUACCUUGGGUUGUCUACCUUUGCAAAUGCUAUGCCAUCAUGGGGGUAAUUCUGGGCUACCAAUCUGGUGAUUUUUAAUGUGAAAAAAUGGAAAUGCAAGUUUUAUAUUACACGCUGUAACUUUUGCAAACACCAUAAAACCUGUACAUAGAAACAUAGAAUGUGACGGCAGAUAAGAACCAUUCGGCCCAUCUAGUCUGCCCAAUAGUACAUGGUGGAUACGGUUAUACUUGAGAGACUUCGCUGAACACAAAUAUUAGUGUUUCCAAACAUUACAACUUAUCACAACAAUUUUAUCAUUGUUGUGAUCGGUUUUACGGUUUUGAAACACUAAUAUUUGUGUUGAGCGAAGUGUCCCGAGUAAAACAGAACCCCCCCGUGUACAGGUUUUAUGGUGUCUUGCAAAGUUACAGAGUUACAUAUAGGGCUUACGAACCAUAUU